RNAcentral lists this ribosomal RNA (292 nucleotides) under uncultured bacterium. RNAcentral's name for it is "partial 16S ribosomal RNA". It matches the Rfam family "Bacterial small subunit ribosomal RNA", at positions 505 to 796 of the family's 1533-position model. The record is from RNAcentral.
GUGCCAGCAGCCGCGGUAAGACGAACCUUGCUAACGUUAUUCGGAAUUACUGGGCUUAAAGGGUGCGUAGGCGGUGCGGAAAGUCGGGUGUGAAAUCCCCCAGCUCAACUGGGGAAUUGCGCCUGAAACUGCCGUGCUCGAGGAAGACAGAGGUACGCGGAACUUAGGGUGGAGCGGUGAAAUGCGUUGAUAUCCUAAGGAACACCGGUGGCGAAAGCGGCGUACUGGGUCUUAUCUGACGCUGAGGCACGAAAGCUAGGGUAGCGAACGGGAUUAGAUACCCCGGUAGUCC